ACUAGCGGCAGUGACAGACUCAAGAAUAACCACUGUGCCCAAUUACUAGUCGUAUAAUUUGAAUUAAUUAUGUAAAAUCAUCGUACAGUUGGUAUAUUAUGAAGAAGUUAAAUAUUUCUUCAUUAUUGGCUGAUAUGAUCAGUUGUGAAUCUAUAUAAACCAGAAGAAGUUUAUGGGUCCGAACACUCUAUAAUCAGUCGAACUGAAAUUAAUGGCUGAAACUUGUUUUGCGGUUGUUUUUCUGUUUGUGUUGAUGCUUUUCAGCUCGGGACCUCUUCGGGAGUACAACUGUCGAAAGCCGAUCACCAUCACCCACGCAUGGGGCAACAUACAAAUCUCAUGCAAGAUUACCCUAAUUCAGAAGCACCAUAUUGAGAGUGAUGCCUCAGAAAAGCCGAUUAUAAUCAUCCUUUCUCUGUUUUUGAUUUCAGCUUUUGCUGUCGUAUCUUUUUACCUACUCUCUCCACUUCCUUGUAGGGAGAGGGUUUUUAAUAUAUCUUGCUUUUAGAGUAAAAAAUAAAUAAGCUACUAGACUGUCAUAGCCCAUCCUUAGCCAUUGAGGCACCCUGUCUGCCCUUAGUCCAUUAUAUGGUGCUAUUAUAACUCUAUCUCCAUUAGUUUAUCAGUAGGCUUUUCUAUUAGAGGCACGUGCUCACUAUCUAGCCGUUGGAUGCUAGGUUAAUCAUUUCUAUUGAUAUCUAAGCUGUAAGAACUUCUUUCCGUUCAAUCUAAUGAAAGUUAAGAGUUGUUUA
This is a long non-coding RNA of Papaver somniferum (opium poppy), 752 nucleotides long. RefSeq lists it as uncharacterized. The transcript is spliced from 2 exons. Lineage: Eukaryota; Viridiplantae; Streptophyta; Magnoliopsida; Ranunculales; Papaveraceae. The record is from RefSeq and is a predicted model, not a curated record.